UUUACGCCCCAGGCGAACCAGCAACAACUUCCUACUGUCACAUGCAUAUGCAGGAUAAGACACCAUACCGAUAAUAUAAAUGCUAGACAGCUAUCGGGAGGUGGGUUUUACGCCCCAGGCGAACCAGCAACAACUCCCUACUGUCACAUGCAUAUGCAGGAUAAGACACCAUACCGAUAAUAUAAAUGCUAGACAACUGUCGGAAGGUAGGUUUUACACCCCAAACGAACCAGCAACAACUCCCUACUGUCACAUGCAUAUGCAGGUUAAGACACCAU
This 278-nucleotide long non-coding RNA is filed under the name Phoenix dactylifera (date palm). RNAcentral describes it as "long non-coding RNA (PDAC_LNC018406)". Lineage: Eukaryota; Viridiplantae; Streptophyta; Magnoliopsida; Arecales; Arecaceae. The record is from RNAcentral.